Molecule: ribosomal RNA, 472 nt
Filed under: uncultured bacterium
Lineage: Bacteria
Description: bacterial SSU rRNA
Rfam family: Bacterial small subunit ribosomal RNA
Source: RNAcentral
GGGCCCGCACAAGCAGCGGAGCAUGUGGCUUAAUUCGACGCAACGCGAAGAACCUUACCAAGGCUUGACAUACACCGGAAAGCAUUAGAGAUAGUGCCCCCCUUGUGGUCGGUGUACAGGUGGUGCAUGGCUGUCGUCAGCUCGUGUCGUGAGAUGUUGGGUUAAGUCCCGCAACGAGCGCAACCCUUGUUCUGUGUUGCCAGCAUGCCCUUCGGGGUGAUGGGGACUCACAGGAGACCGCCGGGGUCAACUCGGAGGAAGGUGGGGACGACGUCAAGUCAUCAUGCCCCUUAUGUCUUGGGCUGCACACGUGCUACAAUGGCCGGUACAAUGAGCUGCGAUACCGUGAGGUGGAGCGAAUCUCAAAAAGCCGGUCUCAGUUCGGAUUGGGGUCUGCAACUCGACCCCAUGAAGUCGGAGUUGCUAGUAAUCGCAGAUCAGCAUUGCUGCGGUGAAUACGUUCCCGGGCCUU